This 386-nucleotide ribosomal RNA is filed under the name uncultured bacterium. RNAcentral's name for it is "bacterial SSU rRNA". It matches the Rfam family "Bacterial small subunit ribosomal RNA", at positions 30 to 416 of the family's 1533-position model. The record is from RNAcentral.
AUUGAACGCUGGCGGCAUGCCUUACACAUGCAAGUCGAACGGCAGCACGGACUUCGGUCUGGUGGCGAGUGGCGAACGGGUGAGUAAUGCAUCGGAACGUGCCAUUGAGUGGGGGAUAACGUAGCGAAAGUUGCGCUAAUACCGCAUAUUCUGUGAGCAGGAAAGCAGGGGACCGCAAGGCCUUGCGCUCUUUGAGCGGCCGAUGUCAGAUUAGCUAGUUGGUGAGGUAAAGGCUUACCAAGGCGACGAUCUGUAGCGGGUCUGAGAGGAUGAUCCGCCACACUGGAACUGGGACACGGUCCAGACUCCUACGGGAGGCAGCAGUGGGGAAUUUUGGACAAUGGGGGCAACCCUGAUCCAGCCAUGCCGCGUGAGUGAAGAAGGCC